GGCAAAGUGGCCGAGUGGUCUAAGGCGACAGACUGUGAAUCUGUUCUCUUCGGAGGCGCAGGUUCGAACCCUGCCUUUGUCG
This is a non-coding RNA of Aspergillus lentulus, 82 nucleotides long. NCBI's taxonomy places the organism in Eukaryota, Fungi, Ascomycota, Eurotiomycetes, Eurotiales, Aspergillaceae. The record is from the annotation of a RefSeq genome assembly.